RNAcentral lists this ribosomal RNA (442 nucleotides) under uncultured bacterium. RNAcentral's name for it is "partial 16S ribosomal RNA". It matches the Rfam family "Bacterial small subunit ribosomal RNA", at positions 338 to 795 of the family's 1533-position model. The record is from RNAcentral.
CCUACGGGAGGCAGCAGUGGGGAAUAUUGGGCAAUGGGCGCAAGCCUGACCCAGCAACGCCGCGUGAAGGAAGAAGGCUUUCGGGUUGUAAACUUCUUUUAAGAGGGAAGAGCAGAAGACGGUACCUCUUGAAUAAGCCACGGCUAACUACGUGCCAGCAGCCGCGGUAAUACGUAGGUGGCAAGCGUUGUCCGGAUUUACUGGGUGGAAAGGGCGUGCAGCCGGGAAGACAAGUCAGAUGUGAAAUCCCGCGGCUCAACCGCGGAACUGCAUUUGAAACUGUUUUUCUUGAGUACCGGAGAGGUCAUCGGAAUUCCUUUUGUAGCUGUUAAAUGCGUAGAUCUCAGGAAGAACACCAGUGGCGAAGGCGGAUGACUGGACGGCAACUGACGGUGAGGCGCGAAAGCGUGGGGAGCAAACAGGAUUAGAUACCCGGGUAGUC